GUGGUGGAUUAGUGGCGAACGGGUGAGUAACACGUGGGCAAUCUGCCCUGUACUUCGGGAUAAGCCUUGGAAACGGGGUCUAAUACCGGAUGGGACUGCCGGCCGCAUGGUCUGGUGGUGGAAAGCUCCGGCGGUACAGGAUGAGCUCGCGGCCUAUCAGCUUGUUGGUGGGGUGAUGGCCUACCAAGGCGACGACGGGUAGCCGGCCUGAGAGGGCGACCGGCCACACUGGGACUGAGACACGGCCCAGACUCCUACGGGAGGCAGCAGUGGGGAAUAUUGCACAAUGGGCGCAAGCCUGAUGCAGCGACGCCGCGUGAGGGAUGACGGCCUUCGGGUUGUAAACCUCUUUCAGCAGGGAAGAAGCCUUAAAAAGUGACGGUACCUGCAGAAGAAGCACCGGCUAACUACGUGCCAGCAGCCGCGGUAAUACGUAGGGUGCAAGCGUUGUCCGGAAUUAUUGGGCGUAAAGAGCUCGUAGGCGGCGUGUCGCGUCGGAUGUGAAAGCCCGGGGCUUAACCCCGGGUUGGCAUUCGAUACGGGCAGGCUAGAGUUCGGUAGGGGAGAUUGGAAUUCCUGGUGUAGCGGUGAAAUGCGCAGA
RNAcentral lists this ribosomal RNA (601 nucleotides) under Streptomyces sulphureus. RNAcentral describes it as "bacterial SSU rRNA". It matches the Rfam family "Bacterial small subunit ribosomal RNA", at positions 84 to 694 of the family's 1533-position model. Lineage: Bacteria; Bacillati; Actinomycetota; Actinomycetes; Kitasatosporales; Streptomycetaceae. The record is from RNAcentral.